AGUGGGGAAUAUUGCACAAUGGAGGAAACUCUGAUGCAGCAACGCCGCGUGGAGGAUGACACAUUUCGGUGCGUAAACUCCUUUUAUAUAAGAAGAUAAUGACGGUAUUAUAUGAAUAAGCACCGGCUAACUCCGUGCCAGCAGCCGCGGUAAUACGGGGGGUGCAAGCGUUACUCGGAAUCACUGGGCGUAAAGAGAAUGUAGGCUGGUUAUUAAGUUGGAAGUGAAAUCCUAUGGCUCAACCAUAGAACUGCUUCCAAAACUGAUUACCUAGAAUAUGGGAGAGGUAGAUGGAAUUUCUGGUGUAGGGGUAAAAUCCGUAGAGAUCAGAAGGAAUACCGAUUGCGAAGGCGAUCUACUGGAACAUUAUUGACGCUGAGAUUCGAAAGCGUGGGGAGCAAACAGGAUUAGAUACCCUGGUAGUCCACGCCCUAAACGAUGCACACUAGUUGUUGCUAUGCUAGACAUAGCAGUAAUGCAGUUAACACAGUAAGUGUGCCGCCUGGGGAGUACGGUCGCAAGAUUAAAACUCAAAGGAAUAGACGGGGACCCGCACAAGCGGUGGAGCAUGUGGUUUAAUUCGACGAUACGCGAAGAACCUUACCUGGCCUUGACAUAGAAAGAACUUUCCAGAGACGGAUUGGUGCUAGUUUACUAGAGCUUUUAUACAGGUGCUGCACGGCUGUCGUCAGCUCGUGUCGUGAGAUGUUGGGUUAAGUCCCGCAACGAGCGCAACCCUCGUGUUUAGUUACUAACAGUUCGGCUGAGGACUCUAAACAGACUGCCUGGGCAACCAGGAGGAAGGUGAGGACGACGUCAAGUCAUCAUGGCCCUUACGGCCAGGGCUACACACGUGCUACAAUGGGGUAUACAAAGAGCCGCAAUACCGUGAGGUGGAGCAAAUCUCAUAAAAUAUCUCCCAGUUCGGAUUGAAGUCUGCAACUCGACUUCAUGAAGUUGGAAUCGCUAGUAAUCGUGAAUCAGCAAUGUCACGGUGAAUACGU
This 1004-nucleotide ribosomal RNA is filed under the name uncultured bacterium. Its description in RNAcentral is "bacterial SSU rRNA". It matches the Rfam family "Bacterial small subunit ribosomal RNA", at positions 353 to 1371 of the family's 1533-position model. The record is from RNAcentral.